AUUGAACGCUGGCGGAAUGCUUUACACAUGCAAGUCGAACGGCAGCACGGGGGCAGCCCUGGUGGCGAGUGGCGAACGGGUGAGUAAUACAUCGGAACGUGCCCGGUCGUGGGGGAUAACGUAGCGAAAGUUACGCUAAUACCGCAUACGAUCUGAGGAUGAAAGCGGGGGACCUUCGGGCCUCGCGCGCUCGGAGCGGCCGAUGUCAGAUUAGGUAGUUGGUGGGGUAAAGGCCUACCAAGCCGACGAUCUGUAGCUGGUCUGAGAGGACGACCAGCCACACUGGGACUGAGACACGGCCCAGACUCCUACGGGAGGCAGCAGUGGGGAAUUUUGGACAAUGGGCGCAAGCCUGAUCCAGCCAUUCCGCGUGCAGGACGAAGGCCUUCGGGUUGUAAACUGCUUUUGUACGGAACGAAAAGGCUCUGGCUAAUACCUGGGGCUCAUGACGGUACCGGAAGAAUAAGCACCGGCUAACUACGUG
RNAcentral lists this ribosomal RNA (484 nucleotides) under uncultured bacterium. RNAcentral describes it as "partial 16S ribosomal RNA". It matches the Rfam family "Bacterial small subunit ribosomal RNA", at positions 29 to 507 of the family's 1533-position model. The record is from RNAcentral.